Molecule: ribosomal RNA, 894 nt
Filed under: Zalerion maritima
Lineage: Eukaryota; Fungi; Ascomycota; Sordariomycetes; Lulworthiales; Lulworthiaceae
Description: partial large subunit ribosomal RNA
Rfam family: Eukaryotic large subunit ribosomal RNA
Source: RNAcentral
GCAUAUCAAUAAGCGGAGGAAAAGAAACCAACAGGGAUUGCCUUAGUAACGGCGAGUGAAGCGGCAACAGCUCAAAUUUGAAAUCUGGCUUCGGCCCGAGUUGUAAUUUGUAGAGGAUGCUUCUGGCGACGUGCCUUCCGAGUCCCCUGGAACGGGGCGCCGAAGAGGGUGAGAGCCCCGUACGGUUGGACGCCGAGCCUCUGUGAAGCUCCUUCGACGAGUCGAGUAGUUUGGGAAUGCUGCUCUAAAUGGGAGGUAAAUUCCUUCUAAAGCUAAAUACCGGCCAGAGACCGAUAGCGCACAAGUAGAGUGAUCGAAAGAUGAAAAGCACUUUGGAAAGAGGGUUAAAAAGUACGUGAAAUUGCUGAAAGGGAAGCGCUUGCGACCAGACUCGCGCCUGGCGGAUCAUCCAGCGUUCUCGCUGGUGCACUUCGCCUGGCACGGGCCAGCAUCGGUUCGGCGGGGGGGAUAAAAGCCCGGGAAACGUAGCUCCCUCCGGGGAGUGUUAUAGUCCCUCGCCCAAUGCUCCCUGCCGGACCGUGGACCGCGCCUUCGUGCAAGGAUGCUGGCGUAAUGGUCGUUAGCGACCCGUCUUGAAACACGGACCAAGGAGUCGAACAUUUGUGCGAGUGUUUGGGUGCAAAACCCUCACGCGUAAUGAAAGUGAACGGAGGUGGGAGCCUCGGCGCACCAUCGACCGAUCCUGAUGUUCUCGGAUGGAUUUGAGUAAGAGCAUAACUGUUCGGACCCGAAAGAUGGUGAACUAUGCCUGUGUAGGGUGAAGCCAGAGGAAACUCUGGUGGAGGCUCGCAGCGGUUCUGACGUGCAAAUCGAUCGUCAAACAUGGGCAUGGGGGCGAAAGACUAAUCGAACCAUUUAGUAGCUGGUUUCGCG